RNAcentral lists this transfer RNA (87 nucleotides) under Pantoea sp. BRM17. RNAcentral's name for it is "tRNA-Leu". It matches the Rfam family "tRNA". From Rfam's summary of the family: Transfer RNA (tRNA) molecules are approximately 80 nucleotides in length. Their secondary structure includes four short double-helical elements and three loops (D, anti-codon, and T loops). The record is from RNAcentral. Lineage: Bacteria; Pseudomonadati; Pseudomonadota; Gammaproteobacteria; Enterobacterales; Erwiniaceae.
GCGAAGGUGGCGGAAUUGGUAGACGCGCUAGCUUCAGGUGUUAGUGUUCUUACYGACGUGAGGGUUCAAGUCCCUCUCUUCGCACCA